UAAGGAAUAUUGGACAAUGGUCGCAAGACUGAUCCAGCCAUGCCGCGUGCAGGAAGACGGCCCUAUGGGUUGUAAACUGCUUUUGUACCAGAGAAAACCUAUCUACGUGUAGAUAGCCGAUAGUAUGGUAAGAAUAAGCAUCGGCUAACUUCGUGCCAGCAGCCGCGGUAAGACGAAGGAUGCAAGCGUUAUCCGGAUUCAUUGGGUUUAAAGGGUGCGUAGGCGGGCUUGUAAGUCAGUGGUGAAAUCUCUCAGCUUAACUGAGAAACUGCCAUUGAUACUGCAGGCCUAGAGUAUAGAUGACGUUGGCGGAAUAUGACAUGUAGUGGUGAAAUACUUAGAUAUGUCAUAGAACACCGAUUGCGAAGGCAGCUAACGAAACUAUAACUGACGCUGAGGCACGAAAGUGCGGGGAUCAAACA
Molecule: ribosomal RNA, 422 nt
Filed under: uncultured bacterium
Lineage: Bacteria
Description: bacterial SSU rRNA
Rfam family: Bacterial small subunit ribosomal RNA
Source: RNAcentral